Molecule: long non-coding RNA, 385 nt
Filed under: Bos taurus (domestic cattle)
Lineage: Eukaryota; Metazoa; Chordata; Mammalia; Artiodactyla; Bovidae
Description: long non-coding RNA NONBTAT026065
Source: RNAcentral
UUUGACUUAAUUAGGCACAUAAUCCAUUUUUAUUAUAAAAAGAAAUAUAAGUAAAAAGAUCUUAGUUCUUUUUAAAUAUAACUUAAAAGUAAAAAAUUCAUUUUAAACAUAAGUAAAAAGUUCUUGGUUCCACUGUUGAGUUCACAUCUACUAUCUCUGAUUUUUUGAUACACAUACACAUGUAUAUUUUUACAAAACCUUCAAAGUAUGAAUACCAUCUAUAAUGGUAUUAUAGAUGAGAUGAUAUUAUAGAUGGGGUGGUAUUAUAGAUGGGGUGGUACUAUAGAUGAGGUGGUUUAUAGAUGAGAUGGUAUACAGAUGGUAUUGUCUAUUUUACUUGAUCUGCAUAUAGGUCUGUAUCAUUAAGAUGGUAGCCUCCUGCUAG